RNAcentral lists this ribosomal RNA (301 nucleotides) under uncultured bacterium. RNAcentral's name for it is "partial 16S ribosomal RNA". It matches the Rfam family "Bacterial small subunit ribosomal RNA", at positions 509 to 807 of the family's 1533-position model. The record is from RNAcentral.
CAGUCGCCGCGGUAAUACGAAGGGGGCUAGCGUUGCUCGGAAUGACUGGGCGUAAAGGGCGCGUAGGCGGCGAUCAAAGUCAGGCGUGAAAUUCCUGGGCUCAACCUGGGGGCUGCGUUUGAUACUUGAUUGCUAGAGUGGGGAAGAGGGUCGUGGAAUUCCCAGUGUAGAGGUGAAAUUCGUAGAUAUUGGGAAGAACACCGGUGGCGAAGGCGGCGACCUGGUCCUCGACUGACGCUGAGGCGCGAAAGCGUGGGGAGCAAACAGGAUUAGAGACCCCCGUAGUCCCUGUCUCUUAUAC